RNAcentral lists this long non-coding RNA (9321 nucleotides) under Medicago truncatula (barrel medic). RNAcentral describes it as "long non-coding RNA (MTRU_LNC001184)". The record is from RNAcentral. Lineage: Eukaryota; Viridiplantae; Streptophyta; Magnoliopsida; Fabales; Fabaceae.
CUGAAUGACCAUAGCCUCCUGCUGUGCUAGGUGACUGUGAUUGACCAUAAACAGGUGGAUUUGCACUUGGCUUCUGAGAGGGAGGAGCACCAUAACUAGGUCCAUAACCAGACUGUGGUUGACUUCCAUAGGCCGCUUGGGUGGUAGGGGCUACCGCAUAACCUGGUUGAGGAGUUUCUGGUUGGUUGGUAGCAUAACCUUGCUGAGCAACAGUAGUGGGUUGGGAAGUUUGGGAGGUAUCCGCUUGUGAUCCAUAGUUGGAAGUGUGCCCCUCUUGGGUUGGAUUACUCCCACUUCCAUAACUUGGAGCAGAGCCAUAACCUUGUUGCUGAUCAUAAGUUUGUGGCUGACCAUACCCAGAUUGUUGUUGUGCAUUAUACGCACCAUAGCUUUCCUGACCAUAACCCUGUCCUGGUUGGCUAUAACCAGAGGAAGGAGGUUGACUGUAACUGUAUCCAGACCCAUCAGCUGGCUGUGGAGGACCCCCAGGAUUUUGCUGUUGCUGGGGUUGUUGGUUGUAAUAAUCAUAACCACUUGCAUGAGUAGACUGCUGGUGAGAUGGUGCGGUGGAUUGGUCCCAGUUGGCGGAAUAUCCACCGGGUUGCUGAGGAGGAUAGCCUGCAUAUGGUGGCUGAGGCAUGUUAUACUGCGGUGAUGGACCAGAGUAUGAUCCAGGUUGCCCAUAGCCAUAACCAGCUUGUUGCACAGGAGCAGGAGGAGGAGCCCAGCUAGACGGUGGUCGGGAUUGGUAACCUUGCUGAGUAUAACCACCGGAGUUCCCUGAAUUUCUGAGACGAUUCUGCAGAGAGAAACAUCACAACCACAAAUUAAAAAGGCAGCUCGACCAACGUAUCAAAACAUAAAAAUAUACGAAGCAAUAGACGUACACAAAAAAUGGGUGUCAAAAUAUGCAUAACCUCAUUUCCAUUGAUGCCAAUAAAAAUUAGUCAUAAUUUCAAUAAGCUGAUUGUCAAGACAACAGAUAUUUUACUCACUACAAGAGCUCAAGUAUGGGAAACUAAAUCCAAAUAUACAGACCGUACUUCACUAAGCCCCAAGUACAUUGAAACAAUCCUUUCAACCUUCCCUCAACCCAAUCUAACAGGUCAGCCUAAACAAACUAUGAAAUAAAAGCUAAUAAAACUGAUUAGUGAGUGCCAUUAUAAUUGAAAGUGAAUUUAACAUAGGAAAUAGCUAUUCUUUAUAUGUAGAUGAGCACAAGUCCCAAGGAUAAAACUAUGCCAAAUGAAAGUUGAGCAUAUGACCCAACGAUAAGAAAUAUUUUAAGUAUAAGUUCUUACGAACAAUGACAGAAACACACAAAUGGCCUUGUUGAAGAGAAUUUUAAACAAAAUCCAACAGAGAGGAACAUAAAUAGAGACAAUGACUAAGAGUACUCAAAGUGUUGUCUAAUUUUAUGGCUGACAUACACAAUCAACAAGUCAAGAUUCAAAAGGGACAUAAAGUUGAUAAAUCAUAGCUACUGCGGUCUCCAGUCUGAGUUAUCAUGGUUUCAUUUGGCAAGCUUAUGCAACCAUACUGUAAAAAUAUGAGCACCUUAUUUUUACAAAAGGCGGAGAAUAAAAAAUGAAUAACAAUUUUGUAGGGACUAAACUCAAAAGGUCCAUAAUUAUAUAAGGUAAUUGUAUAAGAACUUCAAACAUAUUUAAUCCUAAAACUAAACAUGGUUAUAAACCCAUAAUUUUAAACUUAAAAGAGAUUUGGCACAUUCCAUCCAAAAAUGAUAAGCCAGAUAAAACAAAAAAUUGUGUUGAUAACAUACCUCACCAGUGAGGAUUUGAUUAACCAAUUGCUUUGCUGAUUCAAUCUGAUCAGGGGUCCCAUCGAUUUUUAAUGUUCUUUCUGUUGAUGUAUCACCUGGGGGAGGAUGCAAAGGUAUCACCUAAAAAAAUUGACAAUAUUAGUAAAAGUUAAAAUGAAUAGGAAAUCCAAGUCUUGAGAGUCGGGCAGUCAGCUGUUAACAGCAUCUAACUAGAAUCUAACUUUUAACAUAAUCAUGAUUAAGAAACUAUAUAUCGAACAAGAAACGAAGACAAAAGCGCAAGAGAGAACCUGAAUUCGUGCUCCGGUAGAAGCUUGCAUACUCUUUAUUGUUUCUCCUCCUUUACCGAUUAUAAGGCCAACCUAAAGAUGCACACAAGAAACCACAUCAACCCAAAUGAGAAUAAACAAAACACUGCCAAAAAACAUGCCCGCAACUGGAUAUAUUUCCUUCCCACACCUUAUUGUUUGGUAUUUGCAUCACAAAUUCAUCACCCCCAGAUUGUGCAACCAUCCGUCUAGUUCCACCGCCAGAAGCCCCAGCUUCAGCCUAGUUAAUAAACAACAUGUAUCAGUAAUGUUUCACAAACAGGUCAAAGUUACACCAAUUCCAACAUCAUUUGAGCAUAUUUAUUCAUGAAAUACUUCAUAUUAUAGUUACAGAAUCAGUAGAAAACAACUCUUAUCAGUGAUGUCUCACUAACAGUAUACAGUUACAGCAAUUCAACAUCACUUCGUUUGAGCAAAUUUAUCGUGAAAUACUUCAUACUACAGAUACAAAAUCAGUUGAAACAAGUGAUGUUUAUUGAACAUAUUAAAGUUUAUGCCACUCGAACAUCAUUUGAGCAAAUUCAUAAUGAAAUGAUUGUCAUCAAUGUUUUACUAACAGGUUAAAUUAAUGUCGUUCAAGCUUCAUUUGAGCAAAUUUAUCGUGAAAGACUUCAUACUGCAGGCACAGAAUAAGUUGAAAACAAUUCCUAUUGGUGAAGACAACUCCUAUCGUGAAAUAUUUCGUACCUAUCGUGAAAUCGUGAAAUACUUCGCUAAGAGGUAAAGUUACAGUCAUUUGAACAUCGUUUGAGCAAAUUCGCCAUGAAAUUGUGCAAUAUUAGAAGAAAACAACUCUCAUCACAGAUACUUCACUAACAAUUUACAGUUAACAGUUGCAAAAUCCGUUGAAAACAACAAUUUCACUAACAUCUUACCUUUACCGUCAUUUAAACAUCAUUUGAGCAAAAUUGAUCAUAAUUCAUAAAGCACAUCAUAUCACAUAUACAAAAUCAGUCAGAUACAACAAAAUCAGACUACAGUUGCACCAACUUCUACAUCAUUUGAGCAAAUUUAUCAUAAAACACUUCAUAUGACAGUUACAAAAUCAACUCCUAUUGAAACUCCAUACAACAGUUAUCAAAUCAGUUCAAACCAGCUCUAAUCAAUGAUAUUUCACUAAGGUAACAGUUACGGUGAUUUCAAAACAACAAUUGAGCAAAUUAAUCACGACAUACUUCAUAUAACAGUAAAAAAAACAGUUCAAAACAACUCAUAUCAAUGAUUUUCCCUAAAACGUAACAAUUACAGUAAUUCAAAAAAUAUGAAUUAAUCAAAUUGUUAUCAGUAAACACGAGUUUAAAACAAACAAACCUCGGCAAGGACUUCAUUGAUGAGUUUCUCAGCAGAAGAAACAGCAUCAGGAGUACCCAUAAGUUCAACCAUCCUAGUCUGAGAAUUAGGAUCAGCAUCCAUAUCACGAGUAACUUGAAUCUUAGCACCAGAUUGCAUCUGAAGAUACUUAAUAGUUUCACCUCCUUUACCAAUAAGAACACCAACCCUACCAUUAGGUAUUUCAAUCUUCUUACUAGAACCAUAACUACCACCUUGUUGUGAAUAUUGCGGCUUCAAAUCGUAAGAAUCAAACCCCGAGUGUGGAGCACCGUUAUCGGACUUGGUUCGUUUGGGAUCGUAGGAGAGUGGUGGAGCGCCGGUGACGCUGAGAAGACGAGCGGCGACUUCUUGAGCUCGUUGUUUGGCGUUUGCGACUUCGAGUUCGAUGUCAGUGGCGGUGGGUUGGUCAUCGUAUUUACGUUUUAGGGUUGCGUACUGUGCUUCUUCCGCCAUUGAAACAAACCCUAGAGGGAAGAAGAAAGUGAAAACACGAUGUGUGAAGGAAUUGGAUUAGGUUUUGAAAACACGAUGUGCUACUGGUCAUUUCAGAUACUAGAGAAGAGGUAAAAUUUUACUCGGACUUAAAUCUAAUUUUUAAUCACACAAAAAAAAAACCAAUUAAAAAAUGUAAAAUAAGAAUUUAACUAUCAUAUUUUUUUUUUUGGAAGGAAAUUUAACUAUCAUAUUUUAAAAAUUCAAUUAAAAAAAAGUAAUAUAAGAAUUUUUUUGACAAAAGUAAUAUAAGAAUUUAAUUAACAUAUUCUAAAAGUUUGGACUUAUAUAUAAAAAUCGUUGAUGGUCGUUAUUGAAUUUUAAGAUUUAUGAGUGGGUUCUUUUUGCCUAAAAAAAUAUUGUAAAAAUUAAAAAAAAUAUAUAUGAAUGGUAUUUUGAUUAAAAUUAUAGUACGAAUCGUUAGGUAUAUAUUUGUAAUUUAGUAAUUUGAAAAAUAAAUAAAUUGAAGAUUUCAUCAUAUUUCAUCCAAAUUAGAGGGUAAGCAAAACCAAAGUAAGUGGUGGAACAUGAUGGAAUGCAUGUUAUUGAGUUUUAUUCCAUCCCAUCCUUUUAAUGAUUAUUCAAACAAUGAAAUCUUAAUUUAUUCCAUUUCAUCCUACUUCAUUCCAUCACAUUCCAUCAAUUCAGACAUAGCCUUAGUGUUACGGUAGAUAUGUAGUUUGAUUUGGUUCGGAUGACAAAAUAAAAACCACAACCAAACACGAUUUAUUGCGGUUUUCGUUUUAAUUGGUUCCGUUUACGUUUCUAUUGAGUCACUAGGUUUUGAACACUCAUAAAUACUUGUUUGCGUGCGUAUAUGUAUAUGUGCAUAUAGUCACUAGAGGUGUUCAAAACCGAACCAACCCAAUAGAAAAACCGCAAACCAAACCAAUCCAACCCGAAAUCGCAAAAAACCGCACUUGGUUCAGAUGAAUUCGGAUGACUUUUGCAAUGAACCGCGCGGUUCGGUUUGGUUUGCGGUUUGCAUCUCAGCAGCCGAACCAAACCAAACCAAACCGCAAGAAUCAUGAAUAUUACUUAAACAUGUACUAGCCCAAUUACUGCACAAACUGAACCAAUCCAAACCGCAUUGGUUUGGUUUGGAUGAAUUUUUAAAAAUCAACCGAACCAACCAAACCGCAUGCUUUUUUAUCUCGUAGUUUGGGUUUUAUGCUCAAAACUGAACCAAACUACGUCGCGGACACCCCUAAUAGUCACUCUAAAAAGACAUUUAUAAAGGAACCGAAGGAGUGCUAUUAAAAAAUUAUUGUUAAUUGUUAUAUGGCUAAAAUAUGUUUUUGGUCCUUGCAAAUAUGGUGAGUUUGGAUUUUGGUCCCUGGUAAUUUUUUUUUUUUUAAAAAUUCAUCCCUGCAAAAAUUUUUGUUUUUUAAAAUAGUCCUUGACUCCACUUUAUUGAUGAUUUGACGCAUUUCUUCUACACACGUGGCUUUCGUUGACUGUGGAAGAACGUACACAUGGCACACAAGUGGCAAUUGCCUUAUUUAAAAUAUUUAAAAAUCAUUUUAAUUAAAAUUAAAUUUAGUUUUCAAAUUUAAAAAAAGAUUUAAUUAAAUUAAAAAAUUAAAGAAUCAGCAUUCUUUUCAUCUCUUCUUCUUCUCCAACCCUUUUCUUCUUAUUCUUCUUCUGCAAUAACACAACAUCUGUUUCACCAUCUUCACCAUUUUUCCAUCAUCAUUAAAACCAAUCAAAACCACAUUCAAUUGUAGAGAAAAUGGGAGAAAGAUAUCCAGAAUCUGAGGAGCAAAUCCAUAAACGAAAUCAAAUCUCAACGCAACAAAAAUCAAAUCUUAAACAAAAUCAAAUCUUCUCCAUCACAUCGCAGCAAAAUCAAAUCUUAAACAAAAUCUCAAAUUUGAGUAGCAAACCCAUAAACGAAAUCAGACGAACCCAGAAGCGAAAACGAGUGAGAAUCGUCUCCGGUAGUCAGAUCUGGUGGUUGGUGACUGAGCGGUGAUGAUGGCGGUUCAUGUUGUAGCGCGACGAGGACGGUGGCGGAGGAGUUUUAAUUUGCGGUGGCUUGAGAUGGGCUGAUGGCAAAUCUUGGUUGCUGUUAGUUUUUGUUUAUGAAUUGGAAACAAAUGAUGUUUUGUCAUAAUUGAGUUCAUGGUGAACUGUAGAUUGUGAUGUGAUGUUGUGUUUCUUACCUCCAUUGCUUCUCUCUUGUUGUUACUGUUCUAGAUCCAAAGAGAUGGUCUCUCUUGGUGUUCAGUUCUUAAUACAUGUUUUGGUCCUUAACUUAUUUUCGGAUUUUAUUUUGGUCCUCUAACUAUAAAGUGUCUCAAUUUGAUCUCUUAUGUUUUCUCCGUUACCUCUUUUGGUCUUCUCCCUUAGGUUGUUUUCAAAAAUAGUUAACCCUUGUCCACAUGUCAUUUAAGAUUGGAGAUUAAGGGUUAGAUUUAAAAAGUAUACAAUGAGCUCACAACAUACAAUCAUUUCUAUUUUUCUUGAUUUUCCUAAAAAUAUAAAUUUAAAAUCACCAUCAAUCUACAUCUUUUUAUAUAUUUUGAAAAUAAUUUGUAUCCAGAUUUUUAAAAAUUAAAAUAUUUUUCAGAAUUUUGUAGAAAAAAAUAAAAAAAAAUCUGACCUUUUUUUUUAAAAUUUCGUAAUAAAAUUAUUUUUUUUCAAAUUUUGAAAAAGAUUUUAUAAAAUUCAAGAAUAACUUUUUUUUUCAUAUUUUAUAAAAAUCUGAAUUUUUUUAUAUAUUUUUCAAAAUUAAAAUAUUUUCCAGAAUUUUGUAGAAAAAAUUAAAAAUAACCUUUUUUUUCGAAGAAAAAUAUGAUCUUUUUUUAUAACCUUUUUAAAUUCUGAAUUUUUUAAAUUAAAAUAUUUUCCAGAAUUUUGUAGAAAAAUUUGUAUCCAGAAUUUUAAAAAUUAAAAUAUUUCCCAGAAUUUUGUAGAAAAAAUUUAAAAAAACAUUUUUUUUCGGAAAUCUGACCUUUUUUUGAAAUUUCGUAAAAAAAUAAAUUUUUAAAUCUUGGAAAAGAUUUUAAAAAAAUUCUGGAAUAUUUUUUUGGAUAAUGUUUUAUGUACACACUUUUUUCCAUACACACAUUGUACCACUUCAUGUGAGAGUGUGUGAGAGACAAUACAUUUGAGUUUUUUUGUGUGUGGGGGGGACCACAAGGACACUUGUCAAAAUUGUAUGUGGGUGUACAAGUGGUACAUGUCACCUAAGGUGGUUUAUGUAUCACCACUCAUUUUUUUUCCUUCUAAUUUUAAAAUAUGAAUUUUUUAUAUAUUUUUCCAGAUUUUUAAAAAUUAAAAUAUUUUUCAGAAUUUUGUAGGAAAAAAUUAAAAAAACCUUUUUUUUCGAAAAAAAAAACUGACCUUUUUUAAAAAUUUCGUAAAAAAAUAAAUUUUUUUAAUUUUGAAAAUGAUUUUAAAAAAAUCUGGAAUAUUUAAAAUAUGAAUUUUUUAAUAUAUUUUUUGCUUCAAAAAAAUCAGGUGUUAAUCAUUCACCGUAGGCUACAAUAAACCUACAUGAUCCAACGGUUUCUAUUUGAAAAAUAGAUCAAAAAGUUAAAAUGUAACGGAGAGGACCAAAAGAGGUAACGGCAUAAGACAUAAGGGACCAAAUUGAGACACUUUAUAGUUAGGGGACCAAAAUGAAAUCCGAAAAUAAGUUAAGGGACCAAAGCAUGUAUUAAGCCAUAAAUUUAUGAAUUUUCCACCUUUUCUGCAGUUUCUUUAAUUUUUAAUCACUUAAUUAAACUUAAUUGAUUUUUUAUUUUAAUUUCAAAAGUAUAUUUUUUUAUUUUAAAAAAUGGUUUUUAAAUAAUUAAAUUGAAACAAUUGUCAUGUGGCUGCCAAUUGUGCAUAAUUACACAGUCAGUGAAUGUCACGUAGGCAGAAAUGCGCCAAAUCAUCAAUAAAAUGGGGUCAAGGACUAUUUUAAAAUACAAAAAAUUUUGCAGGGAUGAAUUUCAAAAAAGAAAUUUACCAGGGACCAAAAUCCAAACUCGUCAUAUUUGCAGGGAUCAAAAACAUAUUUUAGCUUGUUAUAUUUGUUGAAGGAAGUUAAUGCAAAUUAAAUUCGCUAAAUAAAAUCUAUGAUUUAUUAUGUCAAGAGAAAAGUCAAAUAAAUAUAAGUUAAUAACUUAAAAUAUAUUUGAUUUAAAGAUAUUGAUCAUAAACAAGUUAUUUAACUUUACUAACAAAAAAAAUUGCAUUGAUGAUAAUAUUUAAAAUGUCAUGUUAAUAUAAAUAAAUAAAAAAACAUUUUUUACACUUUUGUAAUGCAUAAAAAGAGAGAAAACCAAUCAAACAUAUCUUAAAAGAGAGAUGAUCCAGAAGCAAAGAGGAUACGGAUUUUGUAAUGCAUAAAAAAAUGAAAACCAAUCAAGACUGCACAAAUAAUACAUGGCAUUUUUUUUUUUUUGACGAAAUACAUAAUGACAUGUUGAUCAUACAGAUUUCAGAUAUGAUUUUGUUCGGACUAAGAAAAUAACACCUAUGCUGCAUGUUGAAUCAAAAGCUCCUGCUAUCAUAAGCUACUGCUAUCAUGUGAUAUCAUACAGAGCUCUACUGAGAUCUCCUGAAAUAUGUAACUUAUACAUAUAAAAUCCUUCUUACAUUUUCAAAAAACUUAGGUUUAUUUAAGUAUUCUGUGUUCAUUUUAGUAAUGUCUUUUAACAUAUAUUCCACGGUUGCACCAAAAUUCUGCAAAUGGCAUGUAACUUCGCAGCUCAUUUCAGGAAAAUUCUUUCCUUUUGAAAUGAAAGAUACGGGGAUCAAACCAUACAACUUUUAAAAGGAAAAUGCUAGUCUAACGCUGGAUUCAGUACAAUUUGUUAGCUCCUAUUCAACCUUCCGGAAAAUAUUCAAGUACCAAAAUAAGUUUGUUUUCAUCUAGACACUGCAAUGCCAUAUAGAUGUUGCUAUCAAAAUGGGAGGAAAAAAAAUUAAAACCACAUCCCAAAGGACCAUAAUAAAAUCACAAAAGACAAAUCAACUCUUGGGUGAGACUUUAGCAACACCGCCCUGUGGAACAGCCUGUGCAGUUGCUCCAUCGCUAGCAUAUGCUGGAGCCUGAGCAUAACCAGCACCAUAAGAACUAUUUCCAUAUGACGCUGGAGUCUGGCCAUAGCUAGGCUGGCCACCUUGAGGAGCACCAUAUGAUUGCGGACCAUACCCUGGUUGCACUGGUGCUCUCUGAGUUCCUAACUCUGGUUGAGCAUAUCCAGAAGGUGGGGCCUGGCUAGAGGGAUAUGCUGACUGACCAUAGCCUGCUGCUGUGCUAGGUGACUGUGACUGACCAUAAACAGGUGGAUUUGCACUUGGCUUUUGAGAGGGAGGAGCACCAUAACCAGUUCCAUAACCAGACUGUGGUUGACUUCCAUAGGUCGCUUGGGACGUAGGGGCUAC